Molecule: ribosomal RNA, 1084 nt
Filed under: Paenibacillus sp.
Lineage: Bacteria; Bacillati; Bacillota; Bacilli; Caryophanales; Paenibacillaceae
Description: bacterial SSU rRNA
Rfam family: Bacterial small subunit ribosomal RNA
Source: RNAcentral
AUUGACGAGAAGCUUGCUUCUCUGAUGGUUAGCGGCGGACGGGCAUGACAAGGAAGCAUCCUGCCCUCACUUGGGACAACUACCGUAUGCGGUUGCUAAUACCGAACACUUGUUUUCUUCGUCUGUAGAGAACUGGAAAGACGGAGCAAUCUGUCACUUGGGGAUGGGCCUGCGGCGCAUUAGCUAGUUGGUGAGGUAACGGCUCACCAAGGCGACGAUGCGUAGCCGACCUGAGAGGGUGAUCGGCCACACUGGGACUGAGACACGGCCCAGACUCCUACGGGAGGCAGCAGUAGGGAAUCUUCCGCAAUGGGCUAAAGCCUGACGGAGCAAUGCCGCGUGAGUGAUGAAGGUUUUCGGAUCGUAAAGCUCUGUUGCCAGGGAAGAACGCUUGGGAGAGUAACUGCUCUCAAGGUGACGGUACCUGAGAAGAAAGCCCCGGCUAACUACGUGCCAGCAGCCGCGGUAAUACGUAGGGGGCAAGCGUUGUCCGGAAUUAUUGGGCGUAAAGCGCGCGCAGGCGGUCAUGUAAGUCUGGUGUUUAAUCCCGGGGCUCAACCCCGGAUCGCACUGGAAACUGUGUGACUUGAGUGCAGAAGAGGAGAGUGGAAUUCCACGUGUAGCGGUGAAAUGCGUAGAGAUGUGGAGGAACACCAGUGGCGAAGGCGACUCUCUGGGCUGUAACUGACGCUGAGGCGCGAAAGCGUGGGGAGCAAACAGGAUUAGAUACCCUGGUAGUCCACGCCGUAAACGAUGAGUGCUAGGUGUUAGGGGUUUCGAUACCCUUGGUGCCGAAGUUAACACAUUAAGCACUCCGCCUGGGGAGUACGGUCGCAAGACUGAAACUCAAAGGAAUUGACGGGGACCCGCACAAGCAGUGGAGUAUGUGGUUUAAUUCGAAGCAACGCGAAGAACCUUACCAGGUCUUGACAUCCAACUAACGAGGCAGAGAUGCGUUAGGUGCCCUUCGGGGAAAGUUGAGACAGGUGGUGCAUGGUUGUCGUCAGCUCGUGUCGUGAGAUGUUUGGGUUAAGUCCGCAACGCGCAACCCUUAUUUUUUAGUUGCCAGCCAUUUCGGAUGGCA